Long non-coding RNA from Phyllostomus discolor (pale spear-nosed bat), 985 nucleotides. RefSeq lists it as uncharacterized. The record is from RefSeq and is a predicted model, not a curated record. Lineage: Eukaryota; Metazoa; Chordata; Mammalia; Chiroptera; Phyllostomidae. The transcript is spliced from 3 exons.
CAUGAGGCACCUACUAAACCAGUCAGGCGACGGCGGUUCCUCUGUGAACAGGACAAGGUCUGCGUCUGGGGAUGCUGGCCGAGUUUAUUAGCUUCUGAGAACCAUUCUCAGGUUUCUAUAGGCAGGAGCCGGAAAAUAUAAAACACAUGACCACAAACACUGCCACUUCAUAAGCGACAGAAGAGCUUGGUUUUUCUUUUUAAUAGCUUAAGGAAUCUCUUUUCCUCCCUUUUCCAAAAGCAAAAAAAAAAAAAAUGAUAUGUUUGGAAUGGGUAGGUGCAUUAAGGGUUUAUGCGAUGUUGAAAGGAGUGCCUGUGUAUAUGACAAAUACACACCAGUUUAAAGGGUUUGCUAUUGACCGUGUAACAUCAAAAGGCCUUAGUCUGCUCUUGCCAGCACAGACUCUCAGCAGGGUAAAGUCAGUACAGGACGCUCUUUUAAAUACUGAAGCUGGGUGAGUAGGUAGCUCAGCAUUCCAUCAGUCAACCAUACAGUGAUCAGCCAGUGAGGAGUGCCCCAAGGAGAAGAAAAUGGGGCAUCAACACAGGCACCCUUGACUGCUUUAAAAACACACACACACACACACAACUAAGACAUUACAUCUAAGAUCAAUGGCCCAUAAUAUUCACAAAGUAUAACAUCUACCACAGAAUAAUUUUUGAGAAAGGGAGCUUGACAGGUUUUUUAAGUCUUCUGGCGUUUACCAGGACUACGCCUAAAACUGCCCCCAAACCGAUGAAUAUGUCUUGUUUCUAAAAUCCUCUGCAGAAAGAUUCUCUGGCAUCUUGUUCAAUGAUUAAGCCUUUUUUACUGUAAGAAACUUUUUUUCCUUUUAGUUAUUUUUAAAACAUCUACAGCACAAGACUAUCUUUUGGCAUUUAAAAAUUAUUAAAAAUUCGAUCGUACUCAAAAGUAGAUAGAAGAAUAUCAUGGCCCAUCAUAUAGGUUAAAAAAUUUUCAAGAUUUUGCCAGAUUUGAAUCACUU